Molecule: transfer RNA, 75 nt
Filed under: Belliella aquatica
Lineage: Bacteria; Pseudomonadati; Bacteroidota; Cytophagia; Cytophagales; Cyclobacteriaceae
Description: tRNA-Arg
Rfam family: tRNA
About the family: Transfer RNA (tRNA) molecules are approximately 80 nucleotides in length. Their secondary structure includes four short double-helical elements and three loops (D, anti-codon, and T loops). Further hydrogen bonds mediate the characteristic L-shaped molecular structure. tRNAs have two regions of fundamental functional importance: the anti-codon, which is responsible for specific mRNA codon recognition, and the 3' end, to which the tRNAs corresponding amino acid is attached (by aminoacyl-tRNA synthetases). tRNAs cope with the degeneracy of the genetic code in two manners: having more than one tRNA (with a specific anti-codon) for a particular amino acid; and 'wobble' base-pairing, i.e. permitting non-standard base-pairing at the 3rd anti-codon position.
Source: RNAcentral
GCGCUCGUAGUUCAACUGGAUAGAAUAUCAGAUUUCGGCUCUGAGGGUUGAGGGUUCGAAUCCUUCCGAGCGCAC